UUGAGGGCAAGUCUGGUGCCAGCAGCCGCGGUAAUUCCAGCUCCAAUAGCGUAUAUUAAAGUUGUUGCAGUUAAAAAGCUCGUAGUUGAAUUUCGGGGUUAGUAGGCUGGUCGUGCCACCGGUACGUACUGGUCUUACUGAUUCCUCCUUCCUGAUGAACUGUAAUGCCAUUAAUUUGGUGUUGCAGGGAAUCUGGACUGUUACUUUGAAAAAAUUAGAGUGUUUAAGGCAGGCUAACGCUUGAAUACAUUAGCAUGGAAUAAUGAAAUAGGACGUUCGAUCCUAUUUUGUUGGUUUCUAGGAUUGACGUAAUGAUUAAUAGGGAUAGUUGGGGGCAUUAGUAUUCAAUUGUCAGAGGUGAAAUUCUUGGAUUUAUUGAAGACUAACUACUGCGAAAGCAUUUGCCAAGGAUGUUUUCAUUAAUCAAGAACGAAAGUUAGGGGAUCGAAGACGAUCAGAUACCGUCGUAGUCUUAACCAUAAACUAUGCCGACUAGGGAUCGGAUGAUGUUAAUUUUUUAAUGACUCAUUCGGCACCUUACGGGAAAC
Molecule: ribosomal RNA, 548 nt
Filed under: uncultured Glomus
Lineage: Eukaryota; Fungi; Glomeromycota; Glomeromycetes; Glomerales; Glomeraceae
Description: SSU rRNA
Rfam family: Eukaryotic small subunit ribosomal RNA
Source: RNAcentral